Molecule: long non-coding RNA, 1280 nt
Organism: Ictalurus punctatus (channel catfish)
Lineage: Eukaryota; Metazoa; Chordata; Actinopteri; Siluriformes; Ictaluridae
Source: Ensembl
UUUUACUCUCAAGUUCGUUAGAGAACCAUCUAUUUACCGGUGUUACAAAAAAAAAAAAGGUGCAUCACAGCAGUGCAACAAGGAACCAUGUUAUCAUAAGUUCUCUCUAAAAAAAAAAAACAACCUUAGUUAGUGCUAUAAGGAACCAAAGUUAAAAAAAGUGAUGCUAGGAGAACCUUUUCCAGUCCCAUUUCAUAGGGUUCACGUUAACCUGUUAAGGAAUGAUAUAAACACUGAAGAACCAAUACACUGUUCUGAAGGACCUAUAUAAUGAAACAUUCGGAACUUCUUUAAUCUCCAGAGAACCGUACAACUCAACUUGAGAACCCAAUACAAUGAAAAACGGCUCUUGACAAGAGCCAGGUUGCUUGCAGGACUUGUGAUGCUGUAAAGAACCAUCGAAGAACCUUUUUUAAGAGUAUAGGAGUGAAUGAACGUAUCUUAAGGGCGUGUUAUCACCUCGGGUCCAGCGUUCCCAGGAUAGACUCCAGCUCCAGCCGUGACCCUGAACAGGAUAAAGAUCUUACUGGCGAUGUGAGUAAAGAACCCUGAUGUAGGCUUUAAUGUAAAUAUAACUCAGAGAAGGAGUGGGUUCUUCUCUUCCUGCAGUUGUUUCUUCCAUUUCUUCGUCCUUGUUUUUGGCUUGUUUGUUGAUCGUUAAUUAAGGUGUCCAUCAUAUCAGUGAAGGUCCUCUCGAGUAUAUAGCCUAUUGAAUAUAACAAUAAUAACGAGGGGAAAAAAUUCAUCGCUGUUGCACAUUUAAUAAACAUGUAAUGUACACUGCUCACUCAGAGCAUUCUGCUCAUUCAUGCAGGUUCAAUAAGCAGCACAGGUGAAUUUCUGCACUGCAGUAACCUUCUCGCUUUACCGGUCUGGUUUCCAUAGUUACCUCUAACCUGCCAUUAAAUGUUGAGGCCAUGAGGCCUUAGUGUCGCCUACUGUUAACGAAAAUGUCUCUCUGGAGGACGAAUCUUCCUUCCACGCAUUCCGUUUAAUAACACCGCGCAGGUAACGAACCCGCAUUACACGCCGUGGACCGUCGCCAUGGUUACCACCGCGUUCCUUUCCUACUUCCGCCUACGUCACAACCGCGACGUCGUGCCCUCGCAUUCUACCGGUCUAAACAAUGCAUCAAAACAGGAGCCGACCACGCGAAUGAUGAAGGUGAACGGGAAGCCGGAUAACAUCUGACACCAUUGAGGACAACCUGAAGUGACCUGAGCACCGGGGAACCCCCCCCGUACACCCCACCCGACCCCAACGACCACGCGUGCACGGAC